This 164-nucleotide ribosomal RNA is filed under the name Ligularia taquetii. RNAcentral describes it as "5.8S ribosomal RNA". It matches the Rfam family "5.8S ribosomal RNA". From Rfam's summary of the family: 5.8S ribosomal RNA (5.8S rRNA) is a component of the large subunit of the eukaryotic ribosome. It is transcribed by RNA polymerase I as part of the 45S precursor that also contains 18S and 28S rRNA. Lineage: Eukaryota; Viridiplantae; Streptophyta; Magnoliopsida; Asterales; Asteraceae. The record is from RNAcentral.
CAAACGACUCUCGGCAACGGAUAUCUCGGCUCACGCAUCGAUGAAGAACGUAGCAAAAUGCGAUACUUGGUGUGAAUUGCAGAAUCCCGUGAACCAUCGAGUUUUUGAACGCAAGUUGCGCCCGAAGCCUUUUGGUUGAGGGCACGUCUGCCUGGGCGUCACAC